This 497-nucleotide ribosomal RNA is filed under the name uncultured bacterium. Its description in RNAcentral is "partial 16S ribosomal RNA". It matches the Rfam family "Bacterial small subunit ribosomal RNA", at positions 28 to 507 of the family's 1533-position model. The record is from RNAcentral.
GAUGAACGCUGGCGGCGUGCCUAAUACAUGCAAGUCGAGCGAACGGACGAGAAGCUUGCUUCUCUGAUGUUAGCGGCGGACGGGUGAGUAACACGUGGAUAACCUACCUAUAAGACUGGGAUAACUUCGGGAAACCGGAGCUAAUACCGGAUAAUAUUUUGAACCGCAUGGUUCAAAAGUGAAAGACGGUCUUGCUGUCACUUAUAGAUGGAUACGCGCUGCAUUAGCUAGUUGGUAAGGUAACGGCUUACCAAGGCAACGAUGCAUAGCCGACCUGAGAGGGUGAUCGGCCACACUGGAACUGAGACACGGUCCAGACUCCUACGGGAGGCAGCAGUAGGGAAUCUUCCGCAAUGGGCGAAAGCCUGACGGAGCAACGCCGCGUGAGUGAUGAAGGUCUUCGGAUCGUAAAACUCUGUUAUUAGGGAAGAACAUAUGUGUAAGUAACUGUGCGCAUCUUGACGGUACCUAAUCAGAAAGCCACGGCUAACUACGUG